Diachasmimorpha longicaudata is the source of this 3462-nucleotide long non-coding RNA. RefSeq lists it as uncharacterized. The transcript has 3 exons. NCBI's taxonomy places the organism in Eukaryota, Metazoa, Arthropoda, Insecta, Hymenoptera, Braconidae. The record is from RefSeq and is a predicted model, not a curated record.
CAUUUCUCUAACAGAAUCGUCAGUGAAAAAUUAUGAUAUUGAUACGUAAAAUUUCCUAAUCAAUUUCUUAAUCGUCAAGUUAUCAGCGAGUUUCGUAAUACUUUUACGGAAUAUUUUUCUCCGCGUAUUUGAGCUCGCGAAAUCAGAAAGAAAUGUCUUAUUGAUAAAUAUUUAUGUCUCCAUUCAGAAAAAAAUCUCUCGAUAUAAUUCGUUUCAUCAGCCGAAUUAUCGAAUUAAAAAUUAUUGUUCCCACACUGUUGCAUAAUAAUUUUAUAAUCACUCCGUGAUAUAUCACACUAAAAUUUUUAUUGGAGUGCAAAAUCGAUAUUACGGGCUUUAAAUUACGCCAUCAACAUAAUUUAAACCGAAGUGUGAAUACAUAAUUUCAUAAUAUUCUCGGGUAAAAUAAAUCAAUAGGAUUCUGUGUAUUGGGUGGUAUAAUUUACCACUUAGUGGGGACGCACGCGGGAUAUAUUGUUUGAUUAUGAUUAAUAUGAGGAAAAUUAUAUUACUGAUUCACGCAAUAUCAACGUUUGAGUGCACAUUAUCCAAGUUUCCGUAACUGUAUUCUCUGAUGAAAAUUAAUUCAGUGGAGCUAGUGGCGCAGAGAAAUGACAGGGCAUCAAAAAUAAUUGAAUUAGGUAAUUAGGAGACGCGAAUAGUUCGUAGCUGAGACAGAUUAGUGAGUAAAAUUCCAGAAUGACAGAGGGUGAUUACCAGUAUUGACUGAGACAAAAAUUUGGUAAAACAGAAAUUAUUAUUUUUGACUCAACCAUUCGGUCUUUGUCAAUAGUACCAACAUAAUAUUUAAUUGAUGUAACGAAAUAUAUCGACAAUUUCCGAGAACCGUGUGAUUAAACUUAUGCUUUAAUCGUUGAGCCUGAGGACUCCAAACAUAAACCUCAUGGUUCUAUCAAAUAGGGGUUGGAAUCUACCGUAUAUUGGCUGCGAUAGCUGGACAUCAUCUCAGCACAACCAUAAAACACAAAACAAUUUAACACCGAAAUAAAAAAAAAAAUAUAUAUAUAUAAAUAUAAAAAUAAAAAAAUAAAAAAUAAAAAUAUUUAAAUAUUUAUAUAAAUAUAAAUAUUUGUUGUAAAAAAUAUCAAUUAUAUCUAUCAAUUGACCAAAUUAGUGUGUGCUAAUGUAGCUGUGCUAUCUUAAAACGCCUCACCUGUCGCUCCGAACAACAAAUCCGGACAACAACUAAUCGACACUAGAUUUCACCUAAUUUUUUUUUAAUCAUUUCUUAGAGUUGUUCUCCCUUAAAAGAGAAAAAGUCUUUCUCUCUUGUCUCAUUUCUCCGCUCCUUUGUGGCAUCAUUUCUUUGACCCAAGAAUAUCUCAAAGGAGCACAGAAAUCGAAUUUAGUAAUGAAAAUGUGCAGAUAAUUCUAAAAGGAAAAAAUUCUUGUGCAAAAAUUAGGUGACUUAAUGCGAUGACGAUCGGGAAGGGAAUAUGGUUAUUUAUUCACGUAUGGUUAUGAUAAAUAAUGACAAUCGAGGUAAUAUGGCAUCAAAGGAUAAUCACAUUACCUCCCUUGUGUCUAAAUUACUGGAAUAAUCCCAUCAUCCCAAGUAAGUUAACGCUGUUAUUUUUAAAACUCUAGACUCUAUUUAUAAAUUUUUAUUUUUUUUUUUGAGUGAAACUUCUUUAAAGUUUCAUUUUUUUUCUUGUCUCAUGUUUACGACAUGAGCACGCCCUUUCAAAUUAAAUCCCAACUGGCAACUCGAGUUUUUAAACUUCAAAAGAUUGAAUAUGCGAUUAAAUUGUGUGGAAUCAUUAAAGUUGAGGAUUCUGCGAGAAUAUCUGCAUAGUUCAACAGGACUGAAUUCACCAGCGGAGAUCGCCAUCAAUAUUAUUCUGUAAUAUACAAAGAGAAAGAUCCACCCAAAAUUGAGUAUUUUCCCCUUAAUUACUGAGGGAAAUGUGGCUCACAAAAAUCUUACGAAACUGUUACACAAAUUUUAUGGAGUUUUUUUGGUGUGUUCCAUAAUUUUUGUCGAAAUUUUCUGUGAAAAAUAAGCGCGAGGCACUUUCAUAAUCGAUAAGUAACAUUGGGUGACAUGUCGUAGUUGUUUUAGCGCAAUAACUCCGAAUCUAAGAGAGAUAGCAAAAUUUUUGUAAUAACAUUUAUUGUAGUGCUGAAUUCCCUCCACAAAAAAGGUCCUAAUGGAAAUUUCGCUACGUUCCUUAGAUUGCAAGAUAUUCACCAAAAACUAAUCAGUAGUGAAAAGUCGUUUAGGUCGUUUAGCCACUUCGCUUCUGAGUAAUUUCUGCUCGAAUUUUAUGGAACUUUUUUCUAUCAUCAGUUAUGAUUCUGUGUAUCGAAAGUUCUCACCAGUCCCCCCACAAAAAUUAUGGUGCUUAUAUGAAAAAUGAGGCGCAAAGUGCUGAUCAGGAAAAAAUUCCGCUGCUGGCGCAAGAAAUUUCAUGAGCUUGAACCUGAAUUUUUGGCGAAAUUCUGUAAAAUUCGGCCGAAAUUCCCCCUUAACAAAAUUAUGAUCUCUGAUGAUCUCUUCACACCCGAGAGAUUGUCAUAGUUUCCAGUACCCGUACUAGAAUUUUUCCAGGAAAUUUCUGUAUCUAGUAUUUAAAAAUACUCAUCAACAUCAGAGCGUAUAAUCUAAUAACCCCCAUCCAUCAGAAUGGUUUCUUAAGAAGCCCUAAAGUGAGAGUUUGUGGAAAUAUAACUCCAUGAAGUGGCACAUGAUGUCUAUGUACCCGAUGUUUCAUCUUCAGGCAUAAAACUGGCACAUUAAACUCAUCACCACGUGUUGCAAAUAUCCCAGCGAAGCUAAUAAAACCCGAUACCCAUUAAUUCAAACAAUUUACCUAUAAUUUUCGCAAUUCCCACAAUUUUCCCUCGAGCCAUUGCAAUACACUUCCACAUUCUCAUGAAUUUUGAACAUUCAUCUUCAACAUUCACGAGACUUGAGGAGUUAACAAUUCCUAUUGCAAAAAAUUUCGAUAAAAAAAUUCGAUGGCCACAAAGUUCUGUCCUGAUGUUUGCACCAGGUCGAUUACGAGGAGCAAGUCCAAAGUUCAUUCCACUAGGCGGUACUGGGGUGAUGUAUACUGCAGAAAUAUAUAAACGUCAGACACGAGUCGCCGAAGACCUCCAAAAGAGAACUGGGAGUAAGUUGGAGAGCAUGCACUUCCUCAUUGUGUUGUCUGAUGUCUGAGACAUAUCAAGGGACAGGAGUGAUUCGAUUUACUGAAUUCAUUUCCAGAAAUGGAAAUUCCAAAGCUGUUUUUGACUGUGAAAAAUCUUGUAUUUCUUCGAUUUGUCCAUUUUGUAAUUUUCCAAUGUUCAGUGGAAGUUGACUAGAACAAUAUGAAAUGUAAAAAAAUGUCUUGAUAGUCUUGGCUGCUCUGAAUGUCAUUUUGCUUUUUGUAAUUGAGAUGAAUAAGGUGAAGUAAGAAGUUGGCAGAUAAAAAUCUAAUUUUUUUCUGAGUUCGA